This 432-nucleotide ribosomal RNA is filed under the name uncultured bacterium. RNAcentral's name for it is "partial 16S ribosomal RNA". It matches the Rfam family "Bacterial small subunit ribosomal RNA", at positions 29 to 507 of the family's 1533-position model. The record is from RNAcentral.
AACGAACGCUGGCGGCAUGCCUAACACAUGCCAGUCGAACGAGACCUUCGGAUCUAGUGGCGCACGGGUGCGUAACGCGUGGGAACCUGCCCUUAGGUUCGGAAUAACUCCCCGAAAGGGUGCUUAUACCGGAUAAUGUUCUUGGACCAAAGAUUUAUCGCCUUUGGAUGGGCCCGCGUUGGAUUAGCUUGUUGGUAGGGUAAAAGCCUACCAAGGCGGCGAUCCAUAGCUGGUCUGAGAGGAUGAUCAGCCACACUGGGACUGAGACACGGCCCAGACUCCUACGGGAGGCAGCAGUGGGGAAUAUUGGACAAUGGGCGAAAGCCUGAUCCAGCAAUGCCGCGUGAGUGAUGAAGGCCUUAGGGUUGUAAAGCUCUUUUACCCGGGAUGAUAAUGACAGUACCGGGAGAAUAAGCUCCGGCUAACUCCGUG